AGAGUUUGAUCCUGGCUCAGGACGAACGCUGGCGGCGUGCUUAACACAUGCAAGUCGAACGGAGUUAAUUAGGAAGCUUGCUUUUUAAUUAACUUAGUGGCGGACGGGUGAGUAACGCGUGGGCAAUCUGCCCGUAAGAGGGGGAUAACACCUAGAAAUGGGUGCUAAUACCGCAUAACAUCGUGGUGUUGCAUGAUACUGCGAUCAAAGGAGCAAUCCGCUUACGGAUGAGCCCGCGUCUGAUUAGCUAGUUGGUGGGGUAACGGCCUACCAAGGCGACGAUCAGUAGCCGGCCUGAGAGGGUGACCGGCCACACUGGAACUGAGACACGGUCCAGACUCCUGCGGGAGGCAGCAGUGGGGAAUCUUCCGCAAUGGGCGAAAGCCUGACGGAGCAACGCCGCGUGAGUGAUGAAGGCCUUCGGGUUGUAAAACUCUGUCUUCAGGGAAGAAACAAAUGACGGUACCUGAGGAGGAAGCCACGGCUAACUACGUGCCAGCAGCCGCGGUAAUACGUAGGUGGCAAGCGUUGUCCGGAAUUACUGGGCGUAAAGAGC
This 556-nucleotide ribosomal RNA is filed under the name Peptococcaceae bacterium enrichment culture clone Swampcons-N1. RNAcentral describes it as "bacterial SSU rRNA". It matches the Rfam family "Bacterial small subunit ribosomal RNA", at positions 8 to 568 of the family's 1533-position model. The record is from RNAcentral. Lineage: Bacteria; Bacillati; Bacillota; Clostridia; Eubacteriales; Peptococcaceae.